Molecule: ribosomal RNA, 255 nt
Filed under: uncultured bacterium
Lineage: Bacteria
Description: partial 16S ribosomal RNA
Rfam family: Bacterial small subunit ribosomal RNA
Source: RNAcentral
UACGUAGGUGGCAAGCGUUGUCCGGAUUUAUUGGGUUUAAAGGGUGCGUAGGCGGUUCUUUAAGUCAGUGCUGAAAUACUCCAGCUUAACUGGAGGGGUGGCAUUGAUACUGGGGAACUUGAGUGUAGUCGAGGUAGGCGGAAAUUGACGGUGUAGCGGUGAAAUGCUUAGAUAUCGUCAAGAACACCGAUAGUGAAGACAGCUUACUAGACUACAACUGACGCUGAGGCACGAAAGUGUGGGGAGUCAAACAGG